RNAcentral lists this ribosomal RNA (433 nucleotides) under uncultured bacterium. Its description in RNAcentral is "partial 16S ribosomal RNA". It matches the Rfam family "Bacterial small subunit ribosomal RNA", at positions 29 to 507 of the family's 1533-position model. The record is from RNAcentral.
AACGAACGCUGGCGGCAUGCCUAACACAUGCAAGUCGAACGAGACCUUCGGGUCUAGUGGCGCACGGGUGCGUAACGCGUGGGAACCUGCCCUUAGGUUCGGAAUAACUCCCCGAAAGGGGUGCUAAUACCGGAUAAUGUCUUCGGACCAAAGAUUUAUCGCCUUUGGAUGGGCCCGCGUUGGAUUAGCUAGUUGGUAGGGUAAAAGCCUACCAAGGCGACGAUCCAUAGCUGGUCUGAGAGGAUGGUCAGCCACACUGGGACUGGGACACGGCCCCGACUCCUGCGGGAGGGAGGCGUGGGGAAUAUUGGACAAUGGGCGGAGGCCUGAUCCAGCAAUGCCGCGUGAGUGAUGAAGGCCUUAGGGUUGUAAAGCUCUUUUACCCGGGAUGAUAAUGACAGUACCGGGAGAAUAAGCUCCGGCUAACUCCGUG